This 218-nucleotide long non-coding RNA is filed under the name Mytilus galloprovincialis (Mediterranean mussel). Lineage: Eukaryota; Metazoa; Mollusca; Bivalvia; Mytilida; Mytilidae. The record is from RNAcentral.
CGGUUUUAUCUGGGUUGAAUGACAUAAGCCAUUUAGAAGACCAAACAUCCAGCUCUUUCAAGUCGCGAUCAAUAACAGAUCUAAUCUGUUCUCCAUCGUUACCAGAAUAGUUGAAUGAUGUGUCGUCAGCAAAUAGCCGACACAGUGAAGUAAGCUUAUCAGCAAUAUCAUUAAUAUAUAAGACAAAGAGAAGAGGGCCCAGAACUGAUCCCUGGGGG